UUAAACCUAAAGUGGUUUUGUAGCCGUCAAAGCAAAUCUGAUUCUUCUCUCUGCAACCUCUCUUCAACAAUGAAAUCUCUCUUACUCUUGAUCCCAGAACCCUAAAUCUAGUCCUCUCUCGCUCUCGCAGUCUCUCUCUCUCUUGCAGUCUCUCUCUCUCUCUCUCUCUCUCUCUCUCUCUCUCUCUCUCUCGCAGUCUCACCCUCUCUCACGAGUCUCUCCUCUCUCUCAAGCUCGAUUGCAGUCUUGCGCCGGUGAGUUCUCGGAAACAACAAGUUUCAAGCUUCAUCUCAGAAACAACAAGUCUCGGAAACCCAUCUCUUCCUUUGAGAAGCAGCGGGGCUUUCAUCACCUAUUGAGUAUCCUGUUGUUGGACUUCUUUCUCAGCCUUGUUCAAGGGGAACUAGGGGCUUACGUUUUUGGAACAAAAGGAUGAGUUGAGUUCAAUGAGCUGAAGCACAAGACAACAGACACUAUUGAUUCCUUGUGUACUAUAUUCUUACAAUGGGGCAUCUUAUUUUAGAUAUGUCAGUCAAACCAGGAAAUUUAGAUGUGGUCAACAAACCGGCCCAUUUUUGUAACCUGCUCGACUAUAGUUUCCGGUACGAUUGUUUUCUUUUGUGCUUACAACUUACCGGUAAGUUUGGUCCUAUUUUUCUUGUGUAU
Molecule: long non-coding RNA, 666 nt
Organism: Brassica oleracea var. oleracea
Lineage: Eukaryota; Viridiplantae; Streptophyta; Magnoliopsida; Brassicales; Brassicaceae
Exons: 4
Source: RefSeq, a predicted model, not a curated record